This 229-nucleotide ribosomal RNA is filed under the name uncultured bacterium. Its description in RNAcentral is "partial 16S ribosomal RNA". It matches the Rfam family "Bacterial small subunit ribosomal RNA", at positions 568 to 796 of the family's 1533-position model. The record is from RNAcentral.
UGCGUAGGCGGAUUUUUAAGUCAGUGGUGAAAGCCCGGAGCUCAACUUCGGAACUGCCAUUGAUACUAUUAAUCUUGAAUACAGUUGAGGUGGGCGGAAUGUGUAGUGUAGCGGUGAAAUGCUUAGAUAUUACACAGAACACCGAUUGCGAAGGCAGCUCGCUAAACUGUUAUUGACGCUAAGGCACGAAAGCGUGGGGAGCGAACAGGAUUAGAUACCCUGGUAGUCC